This 420-nucleotide ribosomal RNA is filed under the name Nemertea sp. RCMBAR1013. Its description in RNAcentral is "partial 16S ribosomal RNA". The stretch from base 1 to 167 matches the Rfam family "Bacterial large subunit ribosomal RNA", at positions 1796 to 2021 of the family's 2925-position model. The record is from RNAcentral. Lineage: Eukaryota; Metazoa; Nemertea.
UCGCCUGUUUAUCAAAAACAUAGCUUAUUGGAUUUUUAUAAUAAGUAUUUUCUGCUCAAUGCGUUAGUAGUAAAUAGCCGCAGUAUCUUGACUGUGCAAAGGUAGCAUAAUCAUUUGUCUUUUAAUUGGGGACUGGAAUGAAUGAAAAUAAGAAGCUAAUUCUGUCUUUUUUAUUUAGGUAUAAUUUGUUGUUUUUGUGAAGAAACAGUAUUUUUAAAAAAAGACAAGAAGACCCUAUUAAGCUUCACUUUUUGAAUGGUUUGUAGUUUCUUUUUUGAGAAUUGACUAAAAAUUUUUUUAAAGUUUAGUUGGGGCGACUAAAAAGGAUAAUUAUCCUCUUUUUGAGUUAACUUAUUGACUUUUUGGUUUGAUUUAAAGAUCCAAAAAUUUUUGAUUUAGAGAAUGAGUUACUAUAGGGAU